CGGACGGGUGAGUAACGCGUGGGUAACCUACCCUGUACAGGGGGAUAACAGUCAGAAAUGACUGCUAAUACCGCAUAAGACCACAGCACCGCAUGGUGCAGGGGUAAAAACUCCGGUGGUACAGGAUGGACCCGCGUCUGAUUAGCUGGUUGGUGAGGUAACGGCUCACCAAGGCGACGAUCAGUAGCCGGCUUGAGAGAGUGAACGGCCACAUUGGGACUGAGACACGGCCCAAACUCCUACGGGAGGCAGCAUG
RNAcentral lists this ribosomal RNA (256 nucleotides) under uncultured bacterium. RNAcentral describes it as "partial 16S ribosomal RNA". It matches the Rfam family "Bacterial small subunit ribosomal RNA", at positions 99 to 353 of the family's 1533-position model. The record is from RNAcentral.